CACUAUCGUUAACUGAAUACAUAGGUUAACGAGGCGAACCGGGGGAACUGAAACAUCUAAGUACCCCGAGGAAAAGAAAUCAACCGAGAUUCCCCCAGUAGCGGCGAGCGAACGGGGAGCAGCCCAGAGUCUGAAUCAGCUUGUGUGUUAGUGGAACGGUCUGGAAAGUCCGACGGUACAGGGUGAUAGUCCCGUACACCAAAAUGCACAGGCUGUGAACUCGAAGAGUAGGGCGGGACACGUGGUAUCCUGUCUGAAUAUGGGGGGACCAUCCUCCAAGGCUAAAUACUCCUGACUGACCGAUAGUGAACCAGUACCGUGAGGGAAAGGCGAAAAGAACCCCGGCGAGGGGAGUGAAAAAGAACCUGAAACCGUGUACGUACAAGCAGUGGGAGCACCUUCGGGUGUGACUGCGUACCUUUUGUAUAAUGGGUCAGCGACUUAUAUUCUGUAGCAAGGUUAACCGUAUAGGGGAGCCGCAGGGAAACCGAGUCUUAACUGGGCGUUAAGUUGCAGGGUAUAGACCCGAAACCCGGUGAUCUAGCCAUGGGCAGGUUGAAGGUUGGGUAACACUAACUGGAGGACCGAACCGACUAAUGUUGAAAAAUUAGCGGAUGACUUGUGGCUGGGGGUGAAAGGCCAAUCAAACCGGGAGAUAGCUGGUUCUCCCCGAAAGCUAUUUAGGUAGCGCCUCGUGAACUCAUCUUCGGGGGUAGAGCACUGUUUCGGCUAGGGGGUCAUCCCGACUUACCAACCCGAUGCAAACUACGAAUACCGAAGAAUGUUAUCACGGGAGACACACGGCGGGUGCUAACGUCCGUCGUGAAGAGGGAAACAACCCAGACCGCCAGCUAAGGUCCCAAAGUCAUGGUUAAGUGGGAAACGAUGUGGGAAGGCACAGACAGCCAGGAUGUUGGCUUAGAAGCAGCCAUCAUUUAAAGAAAGCGUAAUAGCUCACUGGUCGAGUCGGCCUGCGCGGAAGAUGUAACGGGGCUAAACCAUGCACCGAAGCUGCGGCAGCGACACUAUGUGUUGUUGGGUAGGGGAGCGUUCUGUAAGCCUGCGAAGGUGACCUGUGAGGGUUGCUGGAGGUAUCAGAAGUGCGAAUGCUGACAUAAGUAACGAUAAAGCGGGUGAAAAGCCCGCUCGCCGGAAGACCAAGGGUUCCUGUCCAACGUUAAUCGGGGCAGGGUGAGUCGACCCCUAAGGCGAGGCCGAAAGGCGUAGUCGAUGGGAAACAGGUUAAUAUUCCUGUACUUGGUGUUACUGCGAAGGGGGGACGGAGAAGGCUAUGUUAGCCGGGCGACGGUUGUCCCGGUUUAAGCAUGUAGGCUGAUUGUCCAGGCAAAUCCGGAUAAUCAAGGCUGAGGUGUGAUGACGAGGCACUACGGUGCUGAAGUAACAAAUGCCCUGCUUCCAGGAAAAGCCUCUAAGCAUCAGGUAACAUCAAAUCGUACCCCAAACCGACACAGGUGGUCAGGUAGAGAAUACCAAGGCGCUUGAGAGAACUCGGGUGAAGGAACUAGGCAAAAUGGUGCCGUAACUUCGGGAGAAGGCACGCUGGUGUGUAGGUGAAGCCCCUGCGGGUGGAGCUGAGACCAGUCGAAGAUACCAGCUGGCUGCAACUGUUUAUUAAAAACACAGCACUGUGCAAACACGAAAGUGGACGUAUACGGUGUGACGCCUGCCCGGUGCCGGAAGGUUAAUUGAUGGGGUUAUCCGUAAGGAGAAGCUCUUGAUCGAAGCCCCGGUAAACGGCGGCCGUAACUAUAACGGUCCUAAGGUAGCGAAAUUCCUUGUCGGGUAAGUUCCGACCUGCACGAAUGGCGUAAUGAUGGCCAGGCUGUCUCCACCCGAGACUCAGUGAAAUUGAACUCGCUGUGAAGAUGCAGUGUACCCGCGGCAAGACGGAAAGACCCCGUGAACCUUUACUAUAGCUUGACACUGAACAUUGAGCCUUGAUGUGUAGGAUAGGUGGGAGGCUUUGAAGCGUGGACGCCAGUCUGCGUGGAGCCAACCUUGAAAUACCACCCUUUAAUGUUUGAUGUUCUAACGUUGGCCCCUGACCGGGGUUGCGGACAGUGUCUGGUGGGUAGUUUGACUGGGGCGGUCUCCUCCCAAAGCGUAACGGAGGAGCACGAAGGUUAGCUAAUCCUGGUCGGACAUCAGGAGGUUAGUGCAAUGGCAUAAGCUAGCUUGACUGCGAGCGUGACGGCGCGAGCAGGUGCGAAAGCAGGUCAUAGUGAUCCGGUGGUUCUGAAUGGAAGGGCCAUCGCUCAACGGAUAAAAGGUACUCCGGGGAUAACAGGCUGAUACCGCCCAAGAGUUCAUAUCGACGGCGGUGUUUGGCACCUCGAUGUCGGCUCAUCACAUCCUGGGGCUGAAGUAGGUCCCAAGGGUAUGGCUGUUCGCCAUUUAAAGUGGUACGCGAGCUGGGUUUAGAACGUCGUGAGACAGUUCGGUCCCUAUCUGCCGUGGGCGCUGGAGAAUUGAGGGGGGCUGCUCCUAGUACGAGAGGACCGGAGUGGACGCAUCACUGGUGUUCGGGUUGUCAUGCCAAUGGCACUGCCCGGUAGCUAAAUGCGGAAGAGAUAAGUGCUGAAAGCAUCUAAGCACGAAACUUGCCCCGAGAUGAGUUCUCCCUGAGACUUUAAGUCUCCUGAAGGAACGUU
Molecule: ribosomal RNA, 2672 nt
Filed under: Klebsiella pneumoniae
Lineage: Bacteria; Pseudomonadati; Pseudomonadota; Gammaproteobacteria; Enterobacterales; Enterobacteriaceae
Description: partial 23S ribosomal RNA
Rfam family: Bacterial large subunit ribosomal RNA
Source: RNAcentral